This 789-nucleotide ribosomal RNA is filed under the name uncultured bacterium. RNAcentral describes it as "bacterial SSU rRNA". It matches the Rfam family "Bacterial small subunit ribosomal RNA", at positions 8 to 796 of the family's 1533-position model. The record is from RNAcentral.
AGAGUUUGAUCCUGGCUCAGGAUGAACGCUGGCGGCGUGCCUAACACAUGCAAGUCGAGCGAGAUCUUCUGGAACGAAACUUCGGUCUAGUGAAGGAAGUGGAAGCGGCGGACGGGUGAGUAACGCGUAGGCAACCUGCCCCAUACAGAGGGAUAGCCUCGGGAAACCGGGAUUAAAACCUCAUAAAGCGAAUUUAUCACAUGGUUUAUUCGCCAAAGAUUUAUCGGUAUGGGAUGGGCCUGCGUCUGAUUAGCUAGUUGGUGAGGUAACGGCUCACCAAGGCGACGAUCAGUAGCCGACCUGAGAGGGUAAUCGGCCACAUUGGAACUGAGACACGGUCCAAACUCCUACGGGAGGCAGCAGUGGGGAAUAUUGCACAAUGGGCGAAAGCCUGAUGCAGCAACGCCGCGUGAGUGAUGAAGGCCUUUGGGUCGUAAAGCUCUGUCCUAAGGGAAGAAACAAAUGACGGUACCUUAGGAGGAAGCCCCGGCUAACUACGUGCCAGCAGCCGCGGUAAUACGUAGGGGGCAAGCGUUAUCCGGAAUUAUUGGGCGUAAAGAGUGCGUAGGUGGUUAUUUAAGCGCGAGGUGAAAGGCUACAGCUUAACUGUAGUAAGCCUUGCGAACUGGAUGACUUGAGUGCAGGAGAGGAAAGCGGAAUUCCUAGUGUAGCGGUGAAAUGCGUAGAUAUUAGGAGGAACACCAGUGGCGAAGGCGGCUUUCUGGACUGUAACUGACACUGAGGCACGAAAGCGUGGGGAGCAAACAGGAUUAGAUACCCUGGUAGUCC